RNAcentral lists this ribosomal RNA (1554 nucleotides) under Salmonella enterica subsp. enterica serovar Kentucky. RNAcentral describes it as "bacterial SSU rRNA". It matches the Rfam family "Bacterial small subunit ribosomal RNA". The record is from RNAcentral. RNAcentral also lists the same sequence under 2 other names. Lineage: Bacteria; Pseudomonadati; Pseudomonadota; Gammaproteobacteria; Enterobacterales; Enterobacteriaceae.
AAAUUGAAGAGUUUGAUCAUGGCUCAGAUUGAACGCUGGCGGCAGGCCUAACACAUGCAAGUCGAACGGUAACAGGAAGCAGCUUGCUGCUUCGCUGACGAGUGGCGGACGGGUGAGUAAUGUCUGGGAAACUGCCUGAUGGAGGGGGAUAACUACUGGAAACGGUGGCUAAUACCGCAUAACGUCGCAAGACCAAAGAGGGGGACCUUCGGGCCUCUUGCCAUCAGAUGUGCCCAGAUGGGAUUAGCUUGUUGGUGAGGUAACGGCUCACCAAGGCGACGAUCCCUAGCUGGUCUGAGAGGAUGACCAGCCACACUGGAACUGAGACACGGUCCAGACUCCUACGGGAGGCAGCAGUGGGGAAUAUUGCACAAUGGGCGCAAGCCUGAUGCAGCCAUGCCGCGUGUAUGAAGAAGGCCUUCGGGUUGUAAAGUACUUUCAGCGGGGAGGAAGGUGUUGUGGUUAAUAACCGCAGCAAUUGACGUUACCCGCAGAAGAAGCACCGGCUAACUCCGUGCCAGCAGCCGCGGUAAUACGGAGGGUGCAAGCGUUAAUCGGAAUUACUGGGCGUAAAGCGCACGCAGGCGGUCUGUCAAGUCGGAUGUGAAAUCCCCGGGCUCAACCUGGGAACUGCAUUCGAAACUGGCAGGCUUGAGUCUUGUAGAGGGGGGUAGAAUUCCAGGUGUAGCGGUGAAAUGCGUAGAGAUCUGGAGGAAUACCGGUGGCGAAGGCGGCCCCCUGGACAAAGACUGACGCUCAGGUGCGAAAGCGUGGGGAGCAAACAGGAUUAGAUACCCUGGUAGUCCACGCCGUAAACGAUGUCUACUUGGAGGUUGUGCCCUUGAGGCGUGGCUUCCGGAGCUAACGCGUUAAGUAGACCGCCUGGGGAGUACGGCCGCAAGGUUAAAACUCAAAUGAAUUGACGGGGGCCCGCACAAGCGGUGGAGCAUGUGGUUUAAUUCGAUGCAACGCGAAGAACCUUACCUGGUCUUGACAUCCACAGAACUUUCCAGAGAUGGACUGGUGCCUUCGGGAACUGUGAGACAGGUGCUGCAUGGCUGUCGUCAGCUCGUGUUGUGAAAUGUUGGGUUAAGUCCCGCAACGAGCGCAACCCUUAUCCUUUGUUGCCAGCGGUUAGGCCGGGAACUCAAAGGAGACUGCCAGUGAUAAACUGGAGGAAGGUGGGGAUGACGUCAAGUCAUCAUGGCCCUUACGACCAGGGCUACACACGUGCUACAAUGGCGCAUACAAAGAGAAGCGACCUCGCGAGAGCAAGCGGACCUCAUAAAGUGCGUCGUAGUCCGGAUUGGAGUCUGCAACUCGACUCCAUGAAGUCGGAAUCGCUAGUAAUCGUGGAUCAGAAUGCCACGGUGAAUACGUUCCCGGGCCUUGUACACACCGCCCGUCACACCAUGGGAGUGGGUUGCAAAAGAAGUAGGUAGCUUAACCUUCGGGAGGGCGCUUACCACUUUGUGAUUCAUGACUGGGGUGAAGUCGUAACAAGGUAACCGUAGGGGAACCUGCGGUUGGAUCACCUCCUUACCUUAAAGAAGC